Molecule: ribosomal RNA, 500 nt
Filed under: uncultured bacterium
Lineage: Bacteria
Description: partial 16S ribosomal RNA
Rfam family: Bacterial small subunit ribosomal RNA
Source: RNAcentral
AUUGAACGCUGGCGGCAGGCCUAACACAUGCAAGUCGAGCGGAUGAGAGGAGCUUGCUUCUUGAUUCAGCGGCGGACGGGUGAGUAUUGCCUAGGAAUCUGCCUGGUAGUGGGGGACCACGUUUCGAAAGGAACGCUAAUACCGCAUACGUCCUACGGGAGACAGCAGGGGACCUUCGGUCCUUGCGCUCUCAGAUGAGCCUAGGUCGGAUUAGCUAGUUGGUGAGGUAAUGGCUCACCAAGGCGACGAUCCGUAACUGGUCUGAGAGGAUGAUCAGUCACACUGGAACUGAGACACGGUCCAGACUCCUACGGGAGGCAGCAGUGGGGAAUAUUGGACAAUGGGCGAAAGCCUGAUCCAGCCAUGCCGCGUGUGUGAAGAAGGUCUUCGGAUUGUAAAGCACUUUAAGUUGGGAGGAAGGGUUGUACGUUAAUACCGUGCAAUUUUGACGUUACCGACAGAAUAAGCACCGGCUAACUCUGUGCCAGCCGCCGCGGUAA